UGAGGAAUAUUGCACAAUGGGCGAAAGCCUGAUGCAGCAACGCCGCGUGAGGGACGAAGGCCCUCGGGUCGUAAACCUCUUUUCUGGGGGACGAGCAAGGACGGUACCUCAGGAAUAAGUCUCGGCUAACUACGUGCCAGCAGCCGCGGUAACACGUAGGAGGCGAGCGUUAUCCGGAUUUACUGGGCGUAAAGCGCGCGCAGGCGGCUUCGUUAGUCGGACGUGAAAGCUCCUGGCUUAACUGGGAGAGGCCGUUCGAUACUGCGAGGCUUGAGGUUGGGAGAGGGGUGUGGAAUUCCCGGUGUAGUGGUGGAAUGCGUAGAUAUCGGGAGGAACACCUGUGGCGAAAGCGGCACCCUGGCCCACACCUGACGCUGAGGUGCGAAAGCGUGGGGAGCAAACA
Molecule: ribosomal RNA, 403 nt
Filed under: uncultured Chloroflexota bacterium
Lineage: Bacteria; Bacillati; Chloroflexota
Description: uncultured Chloroflexi bacterium partial 16S ribosomal RNA
Rfam family: Bacterial small subunit ribosomal RNA
Source: RNAcentral